RNAcentral lists this ribosomal RNA (496 nucleotides) under uncultured bacterium. RNAcentral's name for it is "partial 16S ribosomal RNA". It matches the Rfam family "Bacterial small subunit ribosomal RNA", at positions 29 to 507 of the family's 1533-position model. The record is from RNAcentral.
AUGCACGCUGGCGGCGUGCCUAAUACCUUCCAGUCGCGCGAACAGACGAGGAGCUUGCUCCUCUGACGUUAGCGGCGGACGGGUGAGUAACACGUGGAUAACCUACCUAUAAGACUGGGAUAACUUCGGGAAACCGGAGCUAAUACCGGAUAAUAUAUUGAACCGCAUGGUUCAAUAGUGAAAGACGGUUUUGCUGUCACUUAUAGAUGGAUCCGCGCCGCAUUAGCUAGUUGGUAAGGUAACGGCUUACCAAGGCAACGAUGCGUAGCCGACCUGAGAGGGUGAUCGGCCACACUGGAACUGAGACACGGUCCAGACUCCUACGGGAGGCAGCAGUAGGGAAUCUUCCGCAAUGGGCGAAAGCCUGACGGAGCAACGCCGCGUGAGUGAUGAAGGUCUUCGGAUCGUAAAACUCUGUUAUUAGGGAAGAACAAAUGUGUAAGUAACUAUGCACGUCUUGACGGUACCUAAUCAGAAAGCCACGGCUAACUACGUG